GGGUUGGAAGGGACUUUAAAGAUCAUCUGGUUCCAGCCGUCCUGCCGUGGGCAGGGGCAGCCUCCACUUGUUCAGGUUGCUUGGAGCUGCAUCCUGCCUGGCUUUGAACACGUUUAGGGAUGGGACAACCACAACUUCACUGGCUACCCUGUUCCAGUGCCUCACCGCCCUUGCAAUAAAGAAUUUUAUCCCAGUAUCUGCUCUAAACCUACUUCUAGCAUAAACCUGUUUCCCCUUGAGCCGUCACUACAUGUAAAUAGUCUAGCCCCAUCUUUCCUGUAAGUUCCCUUCAGGUACUGUAAGCCUGCCAUUAGGUCACCCCUAAGCCUUCUCUUUCACUGGCGGCACAAUCCCAGUUCUCUCAGCCUUUCCUCAUAGGAGAAAUGCUUCAUCAGCUUGGUGGCCUCCUCUGGACUCGUUCCAAAAGGUCAGUGCCCUUCCUGUGCUGGGGAUCUCAGAGAUGGAUGCAGUCGGCACGUGAGGGUGAUGCACUGAGCUAGUGUCGCUAACAAAUGUGUUUAGCUGCAAUAAUCUGUCAAUAAACUGCUCUUGAAUCUCGUCUUUCUGGAGAAUUUUCCUGCAGGCGCUUGUUUUGAGGUGUCCCUGAACCGCCAGCUCAGCUGUUUGGCAGACCUGCAACGCACGAAGUAGCAGAGUGUGCAUUAGGGCUAGUAGCAGCCUGGGCAAGAGGAGGCCUGCAUCCUGCAGAGCCAGGCUGCUGGGCUGGAAAAGCUGCUGAGACCUCACCCGCCGAUUGAACACAGCCAUUAGGAGCUUUGAUGUUGCACAUUUAUGUUGUGUUUCACUAGUGGUCCUCUGGCAAUCAAAGUAAUUGUUGUACUGACCAAUGCCCUGUGUCCCAGAAGUCUGGAAAAAUGUCUGUAUGUGAGGGAUAAAGGGAAUAUGUUUUUUUUUUUUAUUUUUUUUUUUCUGUUCCUAUGUUCUAUAUGGCUUAACAUUACCAAAUGUCCUGUUAAGUUCUGGUAUUGUAUAGUGGUAAAUCUAGAUCUUGUAAAAUAAGAUUAAGGAUUGAGUAAACUAUUAGGCUGACUUGCAGAGCAUUUUCUCAAACUAAUCUCUUAAUGACAGAACAACUGAGAGUUUUAUACAGUGGUUCCUGACAAGCUUCUGGCCAUGCAAGCAGUGCUGUAAAACACCUGAUUUUCUCAGUGGGGAGCCAGGGUGUAGGAACUAACAAACAGGCAGGAUCUGUCUCUUAAUAAAAGUAGUCAUUGAAACAUUUGGGCUUCCUGAAUGUGCCUGCCAUCAAAACAGUUAUAUUGUGGAUAGUGUGUUUGUAUUUCUGAGGCUAGUAUGACUGUACUGAGUGCAGUGAGUUUGCAAAACUUCUGUGUACUUCUCAAGUUUGUAUAUCUGGAGCACAGAGCUUCAGAUGGUUCUGUCUCUAUCUUGAGACUUUCUGGCUUCUGAGCCUCCAGCUGGUCACUUGCCUUAAAAUUACUGUGGAAACAUGUAUCCUGUUAAUUAAUUUAAAAGAAUAAAAGAAAACUUUUGUGGGA
Molecule: long non-coding RNA, 1520 nt
Organism: Parus major (Great Tit)
Lineage: Eukaryota; Metazoa; Chordata; Aves; Passeriformes; Paridae
Exons: 2
Source: RefSeq, a predicted model, not a curated record